AAUUCAGUGCCUGAAAAAGGGCUAUUAUGAUAUAAUAGAUUAUGUGUAAAUUUACACCUUUAUUG
This 65-nucleotide transfer RNA is filed under the name Eurhadina exclamationis. RNAcentral describes it as "tRNA-Ile". The record is from RNAcentral. Lineage: Eukaryota; Metazoa; Arthropoda; Insecta; Hemiptera; Cicadellidae.